GUUCUCGUAGUUGAAUACAACGGUGGUUUUUCAAGCCAUUAGUCCUGGUUAGAAAUCCGGGCGAGGAACU
RNAcentral lists this transfer RNA (70 nucleotides) under Menidia menidia (Atlantic silverside). Its description in RNAcentral is "tRNA-Glu". It matches the Rfam family "tRNA". Rfam says of the family: Transfer RNA (tRNA) molecules are approximately 80 nucleotides in length. Their secondary structure includes four short double-helical elements and three loops (D, anti-codon, and T loops). Lineage: Eukaryota; Metazoa; Chordata; Actinopteri; Atheriniformes; Atherinopsidae. The record is from RNAcentral.